This 439-nucleotide ribosomal RNA is filed under the name uncultured bacterium. Its description in RNAcentral is "partial 16S ribosomal RNA". It matches the Rfam family "Bacterial small subunit ribosomal RNA", at positions 338 to 795 of the family's 1533-position model. The record is from RNAcentral.
CCUACGGGGGCUGCAGUGGGGGAUAUUGCACAAUGGGGGAAACCCUGAUGCAGCGACGCCGCGUGGGUGAAGAAGCGCCUCGGCGCGUAAAGCCCUGUCAGCAGGGAAGAAAAUGCCGGUACCUGAAGAAGAAGCCCCGGCUAACUACGUGCCAGCAGCCGCGGGAAUACGGAGGGGGCAAGCGUUAUCCGGAUUUACUGGGUGUAAAGGGGGCGCAGACGGCGAUGCAAGCCAGGAGUGAAAGCCCGGGGCCGAACCCCGGGAGUGCUCUUGGAACUGCGUGGCUAGAGUGCAGGAGGGGCAGGCGGAAUGCGUGGUGUAGCGGUGAAAUGCGUAGAUAUCAGGAGGAACACCGGUGGCGAAGGCGGCCUGCUGGACUGCAACUGACGUUGAGGCCCGAAAGCGUGGGGAGCAAACAGGAUUAGAUACCCUGGUAGUC